RNAcentral lists this ribosomal RNA (531 nucleotides) under Russula laccata. RNAcentral's name for it is "eukaryotic LSU rRNA". The stretch from base 162 to 315 matches the Rfam family "5.8S ribosomal RNA". Lineage: Eukaryota; Fungi; Basidiomycota; Agaricomycetes; Russulales; Russulaceae. The record is from RNAcentral.
UUUUCGGUCGUGCACGCCCGAGUGCUCUCACACAAUCCAUCUCACCCCUUGUGCACCACCGCGUGGGUCCCUCUCCGGCUCCUCCGGAGGGGGGCUCGCGUUUUCACACAAACUUGAAGUAGUGUAGAAUGUCCUUUUUUGCGAUAACACGCAAUCAAUACAACUUUCAACAACGGAUCUCUUGGCUCUCGCAUCGAUGAAGAACGCAGCGAAAUGCGAUACGUAAUGUGAAUUGCAGAAUUCAGUGAAUCAUCGAAUCUUUGAACGCACCUUGCGCCCCUUGGCAUUCCGAGGGGCACACCCGUUUGAGUGUCGUGAAAUUCUCAAAACCCUUUCUUUUGGUCAUUUUCGACCAUCGAAAGGAUUUUGGACUUGGAGGCCUUUUUGCUGGUUUCACCUUGAAGCGAGCUCCUCCCAAACGUAUUAGUGGGGUCUGCAUUGUCGGUCCUUGGCGUGAUAAGUUGUUUCUACGUCUUGGAUUUUUGGCGCUGUACACCUGCUUCUAACCGUCUCAUUGACAAGCGAUGGUGU